Molecule: ribosomal RNA, 468 nt
Filed under: uncultured bacterium
Lineage: Bacteria
Description: partial 16S ribosomal RNA
Rfam family: Bacterial small subunit ribosomal RNA
Source: RNAcentral
GACGAACGCUGGCGGCGUGCUUAACACAUGCAAGUCGAACGGAAAGGCCCUGCUUUUGUGGGGUGCUCGAGUGGCGAACGGGUGAGUAACACGUGAGUAACCUGCCCUUGACUUUGGGAUAACUUCAGGAAACUGGGGCUAAUACCGGAUAGGAGCUCCUGCUGCAUGGUGGGGGUUGGAAAGUUUCGGCGGUCGGGGAUGGACUCGCGGCUUAUCAGCUUGUUGGUGGGGUAGUGGCUUACCAAGGCUUUGACGGGUAGCCGGCCUGAGAGGUUGACCGGCCACAUUGGGACUGAGAUACGGCCCAGACUCCUACGGGAGGCAGCAGUGGGGAAUAUUGCACAAUGGGCGGAAGCCUGAUGCAGCAACGCCGCGUGCGGGAUGACGGCCUUCGGGUUGUAAACCGCUUUCGCCUGUGACGAAGCGUGAGUGACGGUAAUGGGUAAAGAAGCACCGGCUAACUACGUG